Molecule: ribosomal RNA, 973 nt
Filed under: Lactiplantibacillus plantarum
Lineage: Bacteria; Bacillati; Bacillota; Bacilli; Lactobacillales; Lactobacillaceae
Description: bacterial SSU rRNA
Rfam family: Bacterial small subunit ribosomal RNA
Source: RNAcentral
UCUGAUGGAGCACGCCGCGUGAGUGAAGAAGGGUUUCGGCUCGUAAAACUCUGUUGUUAAAGAAGAACAUAUCUGAGAGUAACUGUUCAGGUAUUGACGGUAUUUAACCAGAAAGCCACGGCUAACUACGUGCCAGCAGCCGCGGUAAUACGUAGGUGGCAAGCGUUGUCCGGAUUUAUUGGGCGUAAAGCGAGCGCAGGCGGUUUUUUAAGUCUGAUGUGAAAGCCUUCGGCUCAACCGAAGAAGUGCAUCGGAAACUGGGAAACUUGAGUGCAGAAGAGGACAGUGGAACUCCAUGUGUAGCGGUGAAAUGCGUAGAUAUAUGGAAGAACACCAGUGGCGAAGGCGGCUGUCUGGUCUGUAACUGACGCUGAGGCUCGAAAGUAUGGGUAGCAAACAGGAUUAGAUACCCUGGUAGUCCAUACCGUAAACGAUGAAUGCUAAGUGUUGGAGGGUUUCCGCCCUUCAGUGCUGCAGCUAACGCAUUAAGCAUUCCGCCUGGGGAGUACGGCCGCAAGGCUGAAACUCAAAGGAAUUGACGGGGGCCCGCACAAGCGGUGGAGCAUGUGGUUUAAUUCGAAGCUACGCGAAGAACCUUACCAGGUCUUGACAUACUAUGCAAAUCUAAGAGAUUAGACGUUCCCUUCGGGGACAUGGAUACAGGUGGUGCAUGGUUGUCGUCAGCUCGUGUCGUGAGAUGUUGGGUUAAGUCCCGCAACGAGCGCAACCCUUAUUAUCAGUUGCCAGCAUUAAGUUGGGCACUCUGGUGAGACUGCCGGUGACAAACCGGAGGAAGGUGGGGAUGACGUCAAAUCAUCAUGCCCCUUAUGACCUGGGCUACACACGUGCUACAAUGGAUGGUACAACGAGUUGCGAACUCGCGAGAGUAAGCUAAUCUCUUAAAGCCAUUCUCAGUUCGGAUUGUAGGCUGCAACUCGCCUACAUGAAGUCGGAAUCGCUAGUAAUCGCGGAU